RNAcentral lists this transfer RNA (73 nucleotides) under Caudoviricetes sp. RNAcentral describes it as "tRNA-Glu". It matches the Rfam family "tRNA". Rfam says of the family: Transfer RNA (tRNA) molecules are approximately 80 nucleotides in length. Their secondary structure includes four short double-helical elements and three loops (D, anti-codon, and T loops). Further hydrogen bonds mediate the characteristic L-shaped molecular structure. tRNAs have two regions of fundamental functional importance: the anti-codon, which is responsible for specific mRNA codon recognition, and the 3' end, to which the tRNAs corresponding amino acid is attached (by aminoacyl-tRNA synthetases). tRNAs cope with the degeneracy of the genetic code in two manners: having more than one tRNA (with a specific anti-codon) for a particular amino acid; and 'wobble' base-pairing, i.e. permitting non-standard base-pairing at the 3rd anti-codon position. The record is from RNAcentral. Lineage: Duplodnaviria; Heunggongvirae; Uroviricota; Caudoviricetes.
GGUCUGAUGGAGAAGCGGUUAACUCGCGUCCCUCUCAAGGACGUAUUCACAGGUUCGAACCCUGUUCAGACCA